GAUGAACGCUGGCGGCGUGCCUAAUACAUGCAAGUCGAGCGAACGGACGAGAAGCUUGCUUUUCUGAUGUUAGCGGCGGACGGGUGAGUAACACGUGGAUAACCUACCUAUAAGACUGGGAUAACUUCGGGAAACCGGCGCUAAUACCGGAUAAUAUUUUGAACCGCAUGGUUCAAAAGUGAAAGACGGUCUUGCUGUCACUUAUAGAUGGAUCCGCGCUGCAUUGGCUAGUUGGUAAGGUAACGGCUUACCAAGGCAACGAUGCAUAGCCGACGGGUGAGAGUGGUCGGCGACAUGGGAGCGUGGCCACGGUCCAGAGUCCUACGGUAGGCAGCAGUAGGGAACCGUCGGCAAUGGGCGAAAGCCUGGCGGAGCAACGCCGCGUGAGAUAUGAAAACCUUCGGAGCGGAAUACUCGGUUAUUAGGGAAGAACAGAUGUGUAAGUAACUGUGCACAUCUUGACGGUACCUAAUCAGAAAGCCACGGCUAACUACGUG
This 497-nucleotide ribosomal RNA is filed under the name uncultured bacterium. Its description in RNAcentral is "partial 16S ribosomal RNA". It matches the Rfam family "Bacterial small subunit ribosomal RNA", at positions 28 to 507 of the family's 1533-position model. The record is from RNAcentral.